Molecule: ribosomal RNA, 460 nt
Filed under: uncultured bacterium
Lineage: Bacteria
Description: partial 16S ribosomal RNA
Rfam family: Bacterial small subunit ribosomal RNA
Source: RNAcentral
CCUACGGGGGGCAGCAGUGAGGAAUAUUGGUCAAUGGGAGGAAUCCUGAACCAGCCAUGCCGCGUGCAGGACGAUGGCUCUACGAGUUGUAAACUGCUUUUGUACCGGGGUAAAAUGCUCUACGAGUAGGGUUUUGAAAGUACGGUACGAAUAAGGAUCGGCAAACUCGGUGCAAGCAGCCGCGGUAAUACGGAGGAUCCGAGCGUUAUCCGGAUUCAUUGGGUUUAAAGGGUGCGUUGGUGGGUUGAUAAGUUAGCGGUGAAAUACCGAUGCACAACAUCGGGGCUGCCGCUAAUACUGUAGGACUAGAGAUCGGAUGCAGCAGGCGGAAUGUGUGGUGUAGCGGUGAAAUGCAUAGAUAUUACACAGAACACCGAUUGCGAAGGCAGCUUGCUAGGCCGGAUCUGACACUGAUGCACGAAAGCGUGGGGAUCGAACAGGAUUAGAUACCCUGGUAGUC